UGAAGGCCUCAGCUUGAUGUCUUGCAACCCUAGUUUCUCUAAGGUACUCCAAGGACAGAUAUUCAGUGCGGAUCCAUUAUCGAUUAACACCUUAGGCAGCAUUUUUCCAUUGCACCUCACUGUUAUGUACAACGCCCUAUUAUGUCCGAUGCCCUCCGUCGGCAAUUCAUCGUCAGAAAAAACAAUUUGCUUGUUGAAUAAUACGUUCCCCACCACGUUUGAAAAAUUAUCAACAGAAAUGUCCCUCGGAAUUUAAGCUCUUGUUAAUACGUCGAUCAAUGCAUCCCUAUGCACGUCCGAAGAGAAAAGUAGGUCCAACAUGGUUAUCUGGGCAGGUGAUCUGCUUAGCUUUUCCACUAUGUUGUAUUCACUUCUCUCGAGUCGUUUAAGGAAAUCCACGGCUUCUUUCUCGGUGAUUGUUGGUUUGAUGGGUGGCUCAGAACUAUUGGCUUGAAUUGGAGUAGUAGUCUCAAAUGGAUUUACAGUCUUCCCCGAUCUGGUAACUACUGACACUUCCUUCUUUGCGGUUGAAUUCUCCCCGAUUUGUAUGCUAGGCUCAUCGUAAUUCCACGGCACUUGUUGCAGACUUAAUAC
Molecule: long non-coding RNA, 594 nt
Filed under: Coffea arabica (coffee)
Lineage: Eukaryota; Viridiplantae; Streptophyta; Magnoliopsida; Gentianales; Rubiaceae
Description: long non-coding RNA (CARA_LNC006321)
Source: RNAcentral